Molecule: ribosomal RNA, 2103 nt
Filed under: wastewater metagenome
Description: bacterial LSU rRNA
Rfam family: Bacterial large subunit ribosomal RNA
Source: RNAcentral
AAACUCCGUGAUAGCUGGUUCUCCCCGAAAUGCAUUUAGGUGCAGCGUCGCGUGUUUCUUACCGGAGGUAGAGCUACUGGAUGGCCGAUGGGCCCCACAGGGUUACUGACGUCAGCCAAACUCCGAAUGCCGGUAAGUCCAAGAACGCGGCAGUGAGACGGCGGGGGAUAAGCUCCGUGCGUCGAGAGGGAAACAGCCCAGAUCGCCGGCUAAGGCCCCUAAGCGUGUGCUAAGUGGAAAAGGAUGUGCAGUCGCAAAGACAACCAGGAGGUUGGCUUAGAAGCAGCCACCCUUGAAAGAGUGCGUAAUAGCUCACUGGUCAAGUGAUUGUGCGCCGAUAAUGUAGCGGGGCUCAAGCACACCGCCGAAGCCGCGGCAACGCAAGUUUUGCGUUGGGUAGGGGAGCGUCCUGCAUCCGGUGAAGCCACGGAGUGAUCCAGUGGUGGAGGGUGUGGGAGUGAGAAUGCAGGCAUGAGUAGCGAUAAGGCAAGUGAGAACCUUGCCCGCCGAAAGACCAAGGGUUCCUGGGGCAGGCCAGUCCGCCCAGGGUGAGUCGGGACCUAAGGCGAGGCCGACAGGCGUAGUCGAUGGACAACGGGUUGAUAUUCCCGUACCCGUGUGUGAGCGCCCAAUGACGAAUCAUCGGUACUAACCGCCCAAAAGGUGACUAACCGAGUCCUUUUAGGACAAGGGGGUCGCCGGCUGCGCGGGACCUUCGGUGGUAGUAGUCAAGCGAUGGGGUGACGCAGGAAGGUAGCCGUACCAGUCAGUGGUAAUACUGGGGCAAACCUGUAGCGCGAGAUCUAGGCAAAUCCGGAUCUCUUCAUGCGUGAGAGGUGAUGCAUAGCCGAGUGAGGCGAAUUCGGUGAUCCUCAGCUGCCGAGAAAAGCCUCUAGCGAGCACACACACGGCCCGUACCCCAAACCAACACAGGUGGUCAGGUAGAGAAUACCGAGGCGUACGAGUGAACUAUGGUUAAGGAACUCGGCAAAAUACCCCCGUAACUUCGGGAGAAGGGGGACCCCCUGCGGUCAAGGCCCACGCGGCCGGCAGCGGCGGGGGGUGGCACAAACCAGUGAGAAGCGACUGUUUACUAAAAACACAGGUCCGUGCGAAGUCGCAAGACGAUGUAUACGGACUGACGCCUGCCCGGUGCUGGAAGGUUAAGAGGACCGGUUAGCCGUAAGGCGAAGCUGAGAAUUUAAGCCCCAGUAAACGGCGGUGGUAACUAUAACCAUCCUAAGGUAGCGAAAUUCCUUGUCGGGUAAGUUCCGACCUGCACGAAUGGCGUAACGACUUCUCAACUGUCUCAACCAUAGACUCGGCGAAAUUGCACUACGAGUAAAGAUGCUCGUUACGCGCGGCAGGACGAAAAGACCCCGGGACCUUCACUAUAGCUUGGUAUUGGCGUUCGAUACGGUUUGUGUAGGAUAGGUGGGAGACUAUGAAACUCACACGCCAGUGUGGGUGGAGUCGUUGUUGAAAUACCACUCUGAUCGUAUUGGACUUCUAACCUCGAACCGUCUAUCCGGUUCAGGGACAGUGCCUGGUGGGUAGUUUAACUGGGGCGGUUGCCUCCUAAAAUGUAACGGAGGCGCCCAAAGGUUCCCUCAACCUGGACGGCAAUCAGGUGUUGAGUGCAAGUGCACAAGGGAGCUUGACUGCGAGACUGACACGUCAAGCAGGGACGAAAGUCGGGACUAGUGAUCCGGCACCCCCGAGUGGAAGGGGUGUCGCUCAACGGAUAAAAGGUACCCCGGGGAUAACAGGCUGAUCUUCCCCAAGAGUCCAUAUCGACGGGAUGGUUUGGCACCUCGAUGUCGGCUCGUCGCAUCCUGGGGCUGGAGUAGGUCCCAAGGGUUGGGCUGUUCGCCCAUUAAAGCGGCACGCGAGCUGGGUUUAGAACGUCGUGAGACAGUUCGGUCUCUAUCCGCCGCGCGCGUCAGAAGCUUGAGGAAACCUGUCCCUAGUACGAGAGGACCGGGACGGACGAACCUCUGGUCCACCAGUUGUCCCACCAGGGGCACCGCUGGAUAGCCACGUUCGGACAGGAUAACCGCUGAAAGCAUCUAAGCGGGAAACCUUCUCCAAGACCAGGCUUCU